RNAcentral lists this long non-coding RNA (2068 nucleotides) under Mizuhopecten yessoensis (Yesso scallop). RNAcentral describes it as "uncharacterized LOC110448904, transcript variant X2". Lineage: Eukaryota; Metazoa; Mollusca; Bivalvia; Pectinida; Pectinidae. The record is from RNAcentral.
CAAGACUAAAACAGGUGCUCGUUGCAACGUGACUGGAGAGCGUCGGGCGUGACAGGCAGUUAGCAGUGAUAGUCCAUCGACUCAGCUGUCACUGCGGAAUUUGGAUAUUUGACACCAUCUUUCUUCAUUUUCGGUCUUUCUUCAUACCUGCCAAAUGUUUGGUCGGCAGGCUGGAUGGCGUUACCAUACAGCUCACUGGGGUAAAGUGAUGAGUUCAUUAACUGUGGUGCCAAAUCCUCCCGGAGUCCCCCACCACCCAGGCUCUGCAGCCAACAAUCAGUGAGGUGGAUAAACUAUUACCACAAUAUUUGUUUACCUUGACAAAGAAGAUGGGAGACAACUCAUGACUGGAGGAGCUUAUUUUGAUGAGGCGUGAAAUGCAAGUAGUGACACAGCAGAUUAGGCGGAGCAGAGAUGAUAUUGGUAAUCAGACAGCACUCCCAGUGGCAGCUAUCAGUGCAGGCAAUGACGUUACCAGUAGUCGUCCAAACAUGGGGUCCUACGCUACCAGCACUGAAACGCUUUAUUCCCAAUCAAUAUACAAGCUAAUGAAAUAUUAAUAGUUCUGAACAAAAUGCUACAAAAUCGUUGUUGUUGGUCCCUAAUCAUAGGCUUCUCUGAAAUCAAAUGAGCUCAAUAGGUUCUUUGCCUGUCAGUCUGCCAGUAAGACUAGCACGCAGGCCAUCCACUGUGGACUAACUAACAGGGAUUCCGACAAAAUUAAUUGAAUCUUAUGCACAUGAGUAUUGUUCACCACUGAGUGCACAAAACAGCAUAAAUCACCCACAACCCAAAUGCAAUAGGGAAAAAAAGGCAUCUCUUUUCCACUGAUGCAUGAUCAAGAUUUUUAAUUUCAUGAUGACUAGUGUUAACGAUGGGCAGACAACUCUCUCAGGCUACAGCAGCACAGAGAUACAUUGAACAUUACAUUAAGUUCGGAAUAAAAUAUUUAUGAAUUGGCUUCUGAUAUAACUGCAUCAAAUGAAAUUACAGAAGGGCUGGGCUGGUGGUGGCAGUGUUUGUCUGCCUACGGUCGGGCCAUGGUAAUGAGGACUGGUAGCUGGGCGGAAGUGCCGACCAAACACUCAGCUGAUUAUGACAAUGAUGGGGGUUUUGAGGAUAAGGACCAUAAAAGACAAUAAACCAAUGUUACAGAGCUGGAGCAACUUGAGCAUGUAUUGAUCAGAUAAUUUGUGCACGUAGGGCAGCUAAUAUCACACAAUUACCGCGCGAGGAGGUGCAAACCAAAGGAGGGACAGCAGCAAAUGAUCAAUAAUGUAUAUAUAGACAUCCGCUUUAUUUAGGUACGGCUAAUUGAUCAAUUCCUACACAAGUAUUUGGUGAUAUUCAAACCUGACCAUAAAUAUGGCAGCGAGUGCCGAUACUUUUUCUAAGUAGGGUUACGCUGCGUACAUAUGGCUGUCAAUCACUUGCUGGCCCCGUAUCUGUCAAUCAUUACUUGGACGAUAUCAAGACAAUGUUACUAGAAGGAAAGGUACUGGAUAAAGGUCAAAGGCUGAUGUCACUUGUCUUGCUGUAGAAAUGGAAUUAUUGUAUCCAUUAGGUGUCAGAUUUUAUGGGGUCUUACUCUCAACGAUUUAAAAAAAAAAAGCAUAAUACUUAUACAGUUUUAAAGGUCUGCAGAUUUCAGUGAGAUGAUGGAUGUUGGACGGGGCCAGAAGACAUUAAAUUGUGCAUGGAAAGGGGCCAAGGAUUUGCUAACCUCAUUUUGAGGUUACUGGUUUCCUAAAGAGGUUAUUGUCAGAGCUGUACUUAUUCUAUGUACUAUUUCACGCUUUCAAUACAAGUUUGGCAUUGCAUGUGGAAUUUCAGAGGAGCAUUUUUUUUGGUGUGAUUUAUGUGUUGGGAAGUUUAAGUGUAUGUAUUGAUAGGUUACACAACUGCUACACAGCUAUCCUGUAGAAAAGCAAACAUUUCAAAAUCCCAAGCAGCAAAAAAAAAAAAACCAGACGUCUUUACCAACAUUGGCGUCUGCGGGGGAAAAAAAGUUUUGAAACAUUUUAAAUGGCAUCAGGUUAAAAAAUAUUUUCCACAAAAUCAACAUUAU